AUGGCCUGGACGCUCGUCAACCUCGGCCACUUCAUGAUUACAUACCACUUCUUCCACUGGAAGAAGGGAACUCCAUUCGUUGAUGAUCAGGGGAUGUAUAAUAGAUUGACUUGGUGGGAGCAAAUGGACAACGGCAAGCAGCUUACUCACAACAGAAAAUUUCUUGUUGUGGUUCCUGUAGUCCUGUAUGUGUUAUUCUGUUUCAAUUUUAUUAAUACUGCUUUUGGGAGCUUACUUGGCAAGGAACAACAUGGCAGGAUGUAUGCACAAAGAUUGAUUCUGGCUAGUCAGAAAUACUACACUUAUUCAUUAAUUAUGCAAAGAACACUUGUUAGUAACAUCUAG
RNAcentral lists this ribosomal RNA (345 nucleotides) under Triticum aestivum (bread wheat). Its description in RNAcentral is "partial small subunit ribosomal RNA". Lineage: Eukaryota; Viridiplantae; Streptophyta; Magnoliopsida; Poales; Poaceae. The record is from RNAcentral.